GGGGAUAAUCGGGAGAAAUCCCGUCUAAUACCGCGUAAUGCCGCGGGGCUGCAUGGCCCUGCGGCCAAAGGGAGCGAUUCCGGCAACGGAUGGGCAUGCGUGACAUUAGCUAGUUGGCGGGGCAACGGCCCACCAAGGCGACGAUGUCUAGGGGUUCUGAGAGGAAGGUCCCCCACACUGGUACUGAGACACGGACCAGACUCCUACGGGAGGCAGCAGUGAGGAAUAUUGGUCAAUGGGCGCGAGCCUGAACCAGCCAAGUCGCGUGAGGGAUGACGGCCCUACGGGUUGUAAACCUCUUUUGUCGGGGAGCAAAUUCCGCCACGUGUGGCGGAGUCGAGAGUACCCGAAGAAAAAGCAUCGGCUAACUCCGUGCCAGCAGCCGCGGUAAUACGGAGGAUGCGAGCGUUAUCCGGAUUUAUUGGGUUUAAAGGGUGCGUAGGCGGACUGUCAAGUCAGCGGUAAAAUACGGGGGCUCAACCUCCGCCCGCCGUUGAAACUGACGGUCUUGAGUGGGCGAGAAGUAUGCGGAAUGCGUGGUGUAGCGGUGAAAUGCAUAGAUAUCACGCAGAACUCCGAUUGCGAAGGCAGCAUACCGGCGCCCGACUGACGCUGAAGCACGAAAGCGUGGGUAUCGAACAGGAUUAGAUACCCUGGUAGUCCACGCAGUAAACGAUGAA
This 680-nucleotide ribosomal RNA is filed under the name uncultured bacterium. Its description in RNAcentral is "bacterial SSU rRNA". It matches the Rfam family "Bacterial small subunit ribosomal RNA", at positions 139 to 813 of the family's 1533-position model. The record is from RNAcentral.